Cervus elaphus (red deer) is the source of this 11000-nucleotide long non-coding RNA. RefSeq lists it as uncharacterized. The record is from RefSeq and is a predicted model, not a curated record. The transcript has 2 exons. Lineage: Eukaryota; Metazoa; Chordata; Mammalia; Artiodactyla; Cervidae.
AACAAGGUUUUGCAGAAAACCAGUGAGAAAUAUAAUAGAAAUGGAAAUCCAAAAGAAAAAAAGAGAAAGAAAGAAAAGUAGAUCUCUCUAAAAUUGCUUUGUAAAAUUAUUUAGUAAAAUUGGAAAGUUAGUAUUAAGUUGAUGGAAAGAAGUAGAAGAUAUACUCCUAAAAUCUUAAUAACUAUUUCAUUAAUGCUAAUGAUAAUAACUUGAAUUGAUGCAGCUCUAAAAUACUGAGCAUAAGUAGCUUCAUAGAUCUUAAAUCAGAGAGAAUAGUUCUGAUCAUUUAUUGUCUACUUUGGGUCAAGUACCAUGGUAUCCUCCAGGGAUACCAAAUGUGUGUGUGUGUGUGUGUGUGUGUGUGUUAGUCUUUCAGUCAUGUCCGACUCUUAGUGACCCCAUGGACUGUAGCCUGCCAGGCUCCUGGGAUUCUCCAGGCAAUAUUGGAGUGGGUUGCUUGCCAGUUCCUUUUCCAGGGGAUCUUCCUGACCCAGGGAUCGAGCCUGAGUCUCCCACAUUGCAGGCGUCGUCUUUACCAUUUGAGCCACCAGGGAAGCCCAAUCAUGCAGCAUUCCCAUCUCCUAGGUUGCAAACCACCUUUGAUGAGGAGCUGCAUCUUCAUUCAUCUCUUCUGUCACCUUGCUCAAGAUUGUUAUUUGAUUAGUCCGCUCAAUAAGAUUGCCCAAAUAUGUUCUUAUUUUAACUUGAGUUUCAAUAAAAUAUUGAAUGGUUCCAGACAAUAUGAUGUUUAAGUAAGCUUUAAGUGCUUGAUAAUACUUAAGUGAUGUUCAAGUCGAUAAGUAAAGAUUGGUCAUGGAGAAUUUUGGUAGUUGAGUAAAAGGAGAGAUGAACAUUUGGGAUACUAUAACUCUUAUUUUUCCCCAAAUAAAAUCAUAAGAUGACUGGCAAACGACAGUGAAAAUUAAACAGGAUGAGUGGAGAAGGAGUGAUCUAGCCAUGUAUUUUCCUAUCUUAUAUGUACAGAACAGUCAUUGGGCUUAUCUGCCCGCAAGUGUGCUAUGGAAGCAGAAGGAGACAGGGGGUUUUCAGAAGAUAAACAUCAUCGUGUGUCAGAGUUGUUGAGAGCUGAAGUAAAGUAUGAAAGGUUUGACCUAAGAUGAUAUGCGAGGUAAAACAUAGGUCCAGGGACUGAAAGAAGUGUAUACACUCUGCCUUCUAAGGAGAGUACGAUUGACUCACUCGCUUAGUUUCCUCCACAUUUUUUCAGAUUUCAUGAGUGUCAGGAGAAUAUAGAUUCAAUGUUUCUAGACCAAAGGUUGUCAGGCAUGGAUGAUUAGGCUGGAGCCUCUCCCCCCAGGGAACAUUUGGCAGAUGUCUAGAGAUAUUUCUGGUUGUCACAACUAGGGUGGGGUGAUAACUUAAUAUCUAGUGGUAAAGGCCAGAGAUGUUGCUAAGUAGCCUAUAAUGUGCAAAACAAGCACAGACAACAAAGAAUUAACUGAUUGAAACUGUCAGAAGUGCCAAAGUUGAGAAACUCUAUUUUAGAUCCCUUCUUCCGAAGUCUUUUCAGAUAACCCCAUUUGACUACUUUUUACUCUUUUGAUUUAAUAUUUUCCAUCACUCAAAAAAGAUGAAAUUAUUCGAACCAAUAAACAAAUUUUGGCCUUACUGAUUAUUAUCAGUAUUGCAAAACUAUACCCCUCCUGUUUGCCACAGCAGCUAUAUGCUUGUUAGGAAGACUGCCUGAGAAAAUGUUUUAUUCUGAUGAAGCAGAAGAUACGUCUUGAUUAAAACAAGGUAGAAAUUAAACCUUUGGUCUCUGAAGAUAUAUUUUUAUAAUAGUCUUUUACCAUUAUAAUCCUUUGGCUAUUUUAAUGCAAACGUGUUUCUGUAAAGCCAUAUUUUGGUUGCUAUAACAACAUGACGUAGCUCCUGAUGAGUUCUUGCCUUAAUGUUGCUUUUAAAAAGUUGGGGUUGCUAUGACUACAAAAUGCUGCUUUAUUUUCAGCAAGCUUUUCUCCCCCCCUGGUAAUUUUGCUUUCAAAAUAUGUAUGUGCACAUGCAUGCAUAUGUGUGUACUUCUACUAACAAGUGUUAUGAAAGUCUAUGUGUAGUAAAGUCAAAGUUUGAAUCGUGCAUUGUUAUUCUAAAAUUGAUUCACAUAAUGUUGGAUGAGUCCAGGUUAAAGAUGCUUUUUUUUGCCUACAAAUUAUUUAACUACUUAAUAACAGGCUCUUCAUCAUUGUUUCGUGAUUUACUUAUCACAUCUUCCAUGUUAUAGCCUCUUCCUGUUUUCCAGCGUAUUUGUACCUCAAUCCUGGAAGGGUCAUUUGAACUUGAAAAAUGAGGAAGUCUGUUGAGUCUUAAUAUAUUCUUGAUUUUUGAUGAAGUCUAUUUUACAACACUGCUGAUUAUGGUCUUCUUUAUAUCAUGAAUUGUAACAAGAUGCCCAUUGCUCAGAGUUUUUCUUAUUCAAAUUUUGAGAAAGCCAGAAGGCUGAAAGUUAGGAUACUUUGGUUCUGUUAUUAACUCUGUCACUAUGAACUAACCACCUUAUUUCUCUGGAGGAGUGUUUUCUGAAGUAUCUAGACAAUGUGAAAUUUUCUAGUAGCCAAGUUAAUCAGGGUUAAGUUUAAUAAUUACUAUCUAACAAAAUAUAUCCAAAAUACUGCUAUUUCAAAAUGUUGAUGUUUAAAUCAUAUUAACACAGCUUUUUACAUUAUUUUUCUAUUAUCUUGGAAAUCCAAGGGAUAUUUUACACUUAUAACAUAUAUCACUUAAGAUGAGCCACAUUUCAAGUGCUCAGUAUCACAUGCGACUAGUGGCUAUCCUGCUGGACAAUUUUAGCUUUAGGUCUCCAUCAAAUUUGGCCAUGUGAUGUCAUUUAUUGUUUAUAGAUCAUCACUUAAUGGAAAGUCUUUGUGAAGUCUCAAGAGUGUACAGAUGAUUAGAAAAACUCUUUCUGGUUUAUGAGAGAGAAGAGAAAGGGAGAGAAAGGGAGAGAGGGCAAGAAGAGAAGAGUUAACAGACAGAGAAGGGGGGCAGAGGGGUGGAGGAGGGUGAGGUUGGAAGGAAGGCAGAAAGGAAGAAAGAAAGAAAACUUCUUUUAGGUCUUUUCUAGCUAUUCAGUGCUAUCAUCCAUAAUCUAAACUUGCUGCUGCUGCUGCUGCUAAGUUGCUUCAGUUGUGUCCGACUUUUGUUAUAAUUAAGAAAUAUUGAAAUGAGUCAGACAGUUCCCUGUUACUUUUGUGUGACUUAUUGACAGUUCUAUUCCUAACCACUUGGGGUAUGCUUAGGACAAAUUAACUGCACUCUACAUGUUUAUUGAAUUCAAUCUCCUUUCUUGUCAAAAUAUAUGAUUUAAUCCAAGAUUAAAUAAACAUUUUCAGAGCAAAAUUCAGUUUGAAAAAUCCCACCACUCACAAAUAUCUUAGAACAAUGUAAAGAAGAGUGGGUAAAGGUUUAAUAUAAAGGGGUAUCAAGUUAAAAGGUGUUAUUCUUUCUCUGCAUCUUGUCUUUCUUGAUGUUGGAAGAUUUUUGUUUAGAGGUAAUCAAGGAUUAACACAAUUGCCUUAAAUUGUUUUGGUGUCAUACUGCAGGUGACAUUGCCAGGACAUCAUUGUUGUGUCCAGAUCCCUUAUUACAUUUCUGCUGCUUUAUUCCUGUCCUGCCUUUUCUCAUUUAGCAGACACCAAAUCAAAGUGAACCAUGUGACUCUUGCCUGCUCAGUGAAGGAAGUUUCUGUUUUCUUUUUAACCAUGUGUCAUUUUUUAUCACCAUUAUUUUAGAAAUAAAGUGGCUUAUUGGGUGUUUUUUUUUAAGCUGAGCCAUUUUGCCUGGACUGAAAAGGUCUGGAUGAACUAAUCAGAUUUGGAAAGAAGAAAACAGUGUUACAAUUUGAGUAGAUUCCUAAAUCAGGUGGCAGAUGGUAAUCUAGGUUGUGAAUUAAAAUGUUUGAUGCUGGCUCUUCACAUUUACAAAGCAGUUCAACUAGUUCCCAUCAUUUGUCACAGAUAUUUUUCUUUUUUACCUCUUUGCAGUAAUGCAACAUAAGGUCUGACAUUUCCUAUCUCUUUGGCCUUUGUAAAUUGGAAUUAUAUUCAAUACAUUUUAUUUUCAGGGUUGAAGAUGUAAGAUGAUUUUGAAAUCCUUGUUUCACAGUGAGCGAUCAUGCUAUACUACCCUGAGGGGUUUGCCCAAAAUAAACAUUAGAAUAUGGUUAAAAUGGGAAUAACCUUUGUUUUCUGUAAUCAUAUCACUUCUGUCUGAACUUGUAAAUGAAAUUGUUUCUUUAAGAACAUUUAUUUACACUGAACACUAGUUUAUAACACUAGCUACUAAAAUGAAAUGACUCAGAAGCCCUUUAAGUUACUCACAAUAAGCUCUUAUUUAUAUAUAGACUAUGAGGAUUGUUCAUUUUCACAUUUUUCUGUGUAAUUUUGAAUAUUCUUUUUCUAAUUGUCUUUAUUUUUCCUGGAAAAUAAGCAAGGAAGAAUAAUUUAGUUAGCUUUGCUAUUGCCAGUUGAUACUAGUUAAAAGUUUGAUGUAGAUGAUAUUUAUAAUCAUUUGCAUUUUUAUUCUAACAUAUUUUUAAAAUGUGGAGCCCCUUGAACAAAGAUUAUUACUUAUAAAGACUUCCUUUACCUCUUGGGCUGAAAGAAUUCAGUUGUUUACUCAUUAGCCUAAAAGAUGCACUACAAACAUGGAGUUUGAGAGACUUUGAAAUUAACUAGUUUGGUAACAUUUGAACUUUUUUUUUUGUUAAGUUCAUUUCUCAAAAGAAAGUAUACCCCUGAGGUUCAAAAUAUUAAAUACAGAUUGAAGAACCAGAAAAGAAGGGAAGGGAGAGAGGGGUUGGGAAAGUGCCCUCCCCACCUGGAACACUCAGAGAUGGCUUGGAAAGCCACACAUCAACUUGAACUCCAUCCAUGUCCAAGUAAGAUACCUGGAAUUUAAGUGAUUUGUUCAAGAUCAGGCAGCUCUGCCUGAAAGCCUGUAAGUUUUUCAUUCAUUCAGCAAAUAUGUGAGUGCCUAUUUAAAUUUUUUGACCAUUUUUAAAAUGUAUUAUAAAUAUUGAUACUAUUAUUUAUUUACUUUUGCUAUUAAAAUUUCUUAGGGCUAUGCCUAGGUCAAUAGCAAUUUUUACAUAGGUGCUUGGUUAAUUCAUUAUUAGUUUUAUUCAGUAUUUCUCACAUCUUUUCUUCUAAGUUUAAACAUGUUUCAACACUGCCCUCCCCCUCCAGACUACAUGAACAGUUGCAUAAAGGAGCCUCUAAGUUUUAAGGAUUUUUGGUUAAUGUAAGCCUGGUAAUCAAACUAGUGACUCUGAGACCUGAUGAAGUUGCUAUUCUGAGAGUUUUAUAGUUCAGCCAUUACUGUUUUCAAUGUUGUGUUUCGUUUGGAAAUAUAUGAGAAAUAUGUGUGUAGUGUUACUUUCUUUUAUUUUGGCUAAUUUGGUAGUGACAUUUCCAACCGAAGACAAAGUAUGUAGACAAGUUGUACCCUGUAAAGAAUUUAAUCGUACUUUUGCAUUUAUGUUUGAUAUAGAAAGGUCUGCUGAAGUGUUCAAUUAGUGACAAAUUAGCCUUAUCUGUUGGAGAAGGAAAUGGCAACCCACUCCAGUAUUCUUGCCUGGAUAAUUCCUGCCAGGCUACAGUCCACUGGGUUGGACACAACUGAGCGAUUAACACUGGCCUUACCUGUAAAGAAUAAAUCAGAGGCCAGGGGAUCAUCCUGAUGAAAGAGAAUAUUAAAGUGCUCAUUUAGAGUUUAGAAUGCAAGUCACAGUAUGUAUUUUUACAGUUUAUUUUUUAAAAUGAAUAGUCUUUCAAUAACAAGAUAGAGUGUGGUGUUCCCUGUAACACAUCUUCUUCUACCAUCCUUUUAUUUUUAUUUUAAAUUUAUUUGUUUUUUUAAUUGCAGGAUAAUUGCUUUACAGAAUUGUGUUGGUUUCUGCCAAACCUCAACAUGAAUCAGCCAUAGAUGAUUGCAUUAUCAUCCCAGACAGGACAGCUAGACUCCCCUGAGCAGCUGAGCAGGGAGAAAGAAGCCAUUUACAUAUUCUCUACAAUCAAGCUCCAAAGAAUUUUGGAGAUAAUAGGUAAUUUGUCACUUGCCAUCAGUACUGUCCUAAAGCUCAUUCAUAGACAUGCAAGUGGGUCAUUUCUAGUCCCUGGUUGAUGAUGUUUUCAAGACGAUGAAAGAAAAGAAACACAUUAUCAUCUAGUAAGAUAUUACUAGAGAAGCAAAGUCAAUUGCGCUUGCUUCUUAUAUAGGAGUGCUAUACAUCAUUGUUUCUUUAACUUGGAAAGUUUCUUUUAGGCUGGACUUGAAACACAACGAUGGCUCAUUGAAAUCUCUUAAUGAUGCAUGUAAGUUUGCUAAAGCUAGUAUUUACCUAAAUGAUUGUUAUGUUUAGGAGAUGGCUGGUUUCCCUUUUAUGUUUCGACAAACAAUGGUGAAACAAUUUGAUUCAUGUAUAUCAUCAUUUGAAGAUAAUUUGGACUAUAGAAAAAUUUGUGUCUUGAAAGUUUAGCCUCAUGUCUGGCACAAUAGAUGUUCCAUAAAUAUUUGUAACACAAAACCUAAGAUUGUAGCAAGCCUUGAAAAAUAACUGAGGGAGUUUCUAAGAGUCAGCCAUUGGACAAUAAUAUGUAAAAUGGCUUUGAACAUAAAAGUAAAUGAAACAAACAAAAACUUCAAAGUCUGCGACCAUUAGCUCUCAAUUCAUUUGAAUAUGCUGAAGGCACAAGGUCCCAGACCAUGCUCUUAUACCCACCUUAGAGACAUGAGGAAGAAUUCUUCCUGCCCCAUUUUUAGUGUAGUCUUAGAUGAAGGAAAAAAAAAAAUAAUACAGUGAUAAUGCAGCCACUGUCACUCCUACUUUAAGCUAUUUCAGACUUAAAGGUCUGUGUUUCUCAGGCCAUAAGGUCUAGAGCCAGAGUUACACCCAGUCAUUUCUUUGUGACUUUAAUUUUCAUCUCCCUGUUGCUGGUACUUAGUAAGUACUAGGCAAUGCUAUAAAGCUUUACAUAAAAUAACUCAGGUAAUCCUCACAAUGGCCCCAGGAGUACAACUGGUAUCCCAAUUUACCUUUGAGAAAGUAAAGCACAGAGAAGUUAUUACAACAUAGGGCCACACUGCAAGACGUGGCUCAGGGAUUUGAGCAGGGUGAUUGUCUUAGGUAAGAGAGGCAAAUUGACCUGGAUGUCUUCAUCUGGAAAUUGGAGAUUUGAACCCACUACAACUUCAGAGACUGUGCUCAAACCAUUGUGCUAAACCAACACCAACUGUUCUUUGAUAUUGGCUGAAAUUAUGCUAUGAGUGAUGUUUGACAACCUCUGAUUCCUCAUUAGUUGUUUCUGAAGGACAUUCAACUGUUAUCAGACAUUCAAAUGUUAUCAGACUUAGGUUACUUUAUCUCUGUUGAGUACGUGACCUCAGGGAUCAGGGAAUUUUGAAGCUAUAGACCAGUUCACAAACUUCUAGGUCUUAGAUUUCCUUUACACUUUUAAAGUUUUUGAGGACCUCAAAAAGGUUUCAGUGUCAUAGGUUUCACUUUGUAGGUCCUCUUCCUUUAUGUUUGUUCUGUAUCUUACAUACUUUAUCUUAUUUAUGUAAUCACAUACUCACCUCUGAUGCAUUGUCUUGAGAAGGCUUUGAAAAUUUGAGGGGUAAUUAAGUAAAUUAACCAGAAGGAUACCAUCUUGACCACCCAAGUCUCUAGAGCCCAGUUAUUUCUGUUGUGCAGGGUCAGUGCAAAUAUCUUGCCAUUUCAUCAGAGAACCAAACCUCUGUUUGUAAUGAGGAAAAAUUCAAACCUUUUUGUCUCUCUUUUGUUUUUUUUAAUCAACUAUCUCAGAACUUCAGAAUGUCACCCUUAUUUUGUUCUAGAAUUCUGUUGAUUUGACCUGGUGAUUUGAAUGUUGUUUGUAUCUCUAUUUUGAUUUGAUUUCUGUAAAGAUAGCUAUGCUGAUGAGUAAUUCUCAGCUCUGACGACAUCCCACUUAACAUCUAGUAAACUUGUUUCUCAGUUUGCAUUCUGUUUGUUGGAAAGAUACAGUAGUGUUUUAAGUAGAAUUCAUUAUUAAUCACGGCUUUUAAGUCAAACUAGGGCUUUUGAUUUAGUUCAUUACUUAGGAAACAGAAUUAAAGGUGACAGAAAUGUGACUACCCUUGCCAUCCUUCCUAAAUAAUCCUUCCCAUUUCUCUGCACAGUUUAUUGGUUGGAUUUGCUUACUUUCCAAAUGUUUGUCAUAUGCCAAAGCUGAUGCCUUUUGGCAGUUUCAAAGUAUGGGUCUAUACUUUCAGAUAAUGUACAUUCUUGUAGAAAAUAUGCACAAUCUCAUCACAGGCUACAUGUCGUGCACCUCUUGUUAUGCACUGCUUCCUAUCAGUUUGAAGAAUCUUUUUGUUCAUUAUUAUUAUUAGCAAAUGAAAUAUAUUUCCUUCAAAGGAAAACUGAUGUAUGAGACAGAUUGAGUCACAUGCUUGACAAGGACAAUUACUCAGGUUUCUCUCAGUUAAAAAUAUCGAAACCACACAUUGUAAUCAGUAGAAAAAUUUUGUUAUCUGCCUUAUAUGAGAACAUUUGCAAAUGUGUUCAUACUCGUAGAUAUCUGAUAGAUCACAGCAAAAUCUGUCAGAAUGUUAUAGGUUUCUUGAGAAACUAAGGAGAGACAGAAAGUUUGCUUUAAAUAUGGUAUAGUUGAAGGAGUUUCAGCUCUGGAAGCAAGCUUUUAGUAAUCUGGUACUUCACUGGCAUCUUAGCUACCUAUAGUUCAUGUCAUUUUUCAUUUUUAUGAUAGAAUCCCAGUUCUUAAGAAGGAAGAAACUCUGGAGAAUUGCUUAUGGAACAGUGCCAUAUGCAAAGUAUCCAGUUGCUAGAGAAAAGCUAAAGAAAAAUGGACAUAUUUCAUUAAGAAUUGUUCAUAUUGGAACUUCCCUGUCCGUCCAGUGGUUUAGAGUCCAUGCUCCCUCCCAAUGAAAGGGAUAUGGGUUCCAUCCCUGGUCAGAGAAGAUUCUGCAUGCCCUCUGGUACAGCACCCCUCCACACACACACAAGUAAGAGCCAGUUGUUCAUAUUGAAGUUGAUUCUCAUGAAGUCAUUCCGUAAGCCUCUUCUGCUCCUCUCCCACCUCUUUCCGUCUACAGGCUUUACACUUACCUUUGCGUCUCUGAAGCUGGUGGCCACUUUAACAAAUGGUGCUAAUGUUUUGUUUUGUUAUUUUUUUUUCUAUUUCCCUGGCAAAGCAAUGCAAGAAUUACCAUACAUUUUCUGUAAUGCUUAUGCUUGCUGUUUUCCCUCUUAACAGUGUAUCUUGGACAUCAUUCCACAAACCAUGGUCCUCCAUGGAUGAUUAAUGAUCCAGAAAGUUUUUGAAUCUCAUGGUUGAAAAGCUCUUAAUUUUUUAGCCUGAUCCAGAGUGAAAUGACAGGAAGGCAACUCUGUUACUGUAUCAUGCCUGGCCUUUGAUUCAUAUGUUGGAGUACCUAAUUUUUUUUUUAAACUUAUAAUGUAUUGGGAACUCCGUUCUGUCAUGAGAAAGUUACGGCAGUGAAAAUGGAGGUAAGUGUGCCCCAAAGCUACCAGUGAUGAUUGAGGAAGCCUGGUUGUUGGACCAAGCCCUCUCAUGAAGUGAUUUGAAUACAAGUGUUCUUUUAGGAUUUACCGUGUGAGGAUAGACCCUGUUUUCUACCAAAUGCCGCUAAAGCUGAGGAAGAGGGCAGCUGCUCAGUUAAGCUCAUGUUCUGUAGAUGCUGCCAUUUGUAUUUGUUUUUUUUUGUUGUUGUUGUUGUUAUUCUUGGUCUCUAUAAUGAACAGAAAUCUGCCUCCUAAUAAAGAGUACUGUUGUUUUUACCUCUUAUCUCUGAAGUUUCUUAGGCUCUAAUUCCUCUUUUUGUCACCACUGGAAAUCUGUGUAUAUGGCAUCAUCUUUCAAGUCUUUUUCUUUUUGCAACUGAAUGUUCACAAGGUCUCAGUUACUGCCCUUUUUUGGAUAGCUCUGAUUUAUCAGUAUCUCUCUUCAAGUGGGAUUGAGGCAGAUUGUUGGGUAUAGGGGGUUUCCUUAGGGAGAUUACACACAUUGGUAAAGAAUUAAAAUAUAUGGAACAAAAGACAUGGCUAAGUUAUGGAACAUCCUUGUAACUGACUAGUAUCCAGUCUUUAUAUUUUAAGAGAAAAUCUCUGACCAUGAAAAUGUGCAAAUUACAUUAAAAUACAGGACUCUCAAUAGCUUAGAAGGAUGAUCUUAGUUGUGAUAAAAUAUGUGCAUAAUAUACAUGUAGAAAAAGGAGUGAAACUUAUCAAAAUGAAAAUGAUGUGGGAUAAUGGUGCAUUUUAUGUUCUUAUUCACUGUCUUCUGUUUUUUAGAUAAAUAUAUAUUCUUUUUUUUCCACGUAUAGAACUCUACAUUGUAGUUGAGGUGAGAAAUGGUGCGCACACAGUAUAGUGGGAUCAUAACCAUUUAUCUGUGCGUUGCUUCUUUUAAGGCAAUCAAAGCUUAAGUAAGGCAUUUCACAUUUUAGAUUAUCUAUAAAGGGAUGCAUUUGGAAAAAGCCCUUUUCAUGUUAUUCCUUUGAAGCCUCUAGUUCUCAUCACACUCCAUUUCUUUAAUGGGGAAGAGGGGUUUGCUUAAUUGGAUCUUAGGGUAUAAUAUUUACUGCAAAAUUUGAAUAUAGGGAAAUAAUUACAAGGGAAUUCCUUUAAGCAUUGUGGAUUAGAAUGAUUAUGCUAAAGGAAAAAAAAAGAAAGCAGUGUGUAUUGGGGAAGAUUUAGAGAAAAGAGAACUUAUACAUUACUCAUGGGGUUAUAAAAUGGUACAAUCAGUUUGGAGAAAAGAUUGUCAGUUUCUUUAAAAAUAAUGAAUAUAAACUUACCAUAUGACCAACAGUUUUACUUAUAAGGUGUCUAAGAGAAAUAAAAGCAGGAAAUUCUCUGGUGAUCCAGUGGCUAGGACUCUGCACUUUCACUGCUGAGAUUCAGGUUUAAUCCCUGUUCAGGAAACUCGGAUCCAGAGAGCUGAGUGGCACAGCCAAAA